RNAcentral lists this ribosomal RNA (253 nucleotides) under uncultured bacterium. RNAcentral's name for it is "partial 16S ribosomal RNA". It matches the Rfam family "Bacterial small subunit ribosomal RNA", at positions 524 to 776 of the family's 1533-position model. The record is from RNAcentral.
UACGUAGGGUGCGAGCGUUAAUCGGAAUUACUGGGCGUAAAGGGUGCGCAGGCGGCGUCGCAAGUCAGGCGUGAAAUCCCCGGGCUCAACCUGGGAACUGCAUUUGUGACUGCAUGGCUAGAGUGCGGCAGAGGGGGAUGGAAUUCCGCGUGUAGCAGUGAAAUGCGUAGAUAUGCGGAGGAACACCGAUGGCGAAGGCAAUCCCCUGGGCCUGCACUGACGCUCAUGCACGAAAGCGUGGGGAGCAAACAGG